Molecule: ribosomal RNA, 578 nt
Filed under: Simsonia sp. 3 MF-2023a
Lineage: Eukaryota; Metazoa; Arthropoda; Insecta; Coleoptera; Elmidae
Description: partial large subunit ribosomal RNA
Rfam family: Bacterial large subunit ribosomal RNA
Source: RNAcentral
AUAAUAUAAGAUUUAACCUGCCCACUGAAUAAUUAAAUGGCCGCGGUAUUUUGACCGUGCAAAGGUAGCAUAAUAAUUAGUUUUUUGAUUGAAAGCUGGAAUGAAUGGUUGGACGAGAAAAUUACUGUCUCUUAUUAAUUUUAAAUAAAAUUUUAUUUUUAAGUUAAAAAGCUUAAAUUUUAUUGAAAGACGAGAAGACCCUAUAGAGUUUUAUAGUUUAUUUAAAAUUUAAUUUGAAGUAUUUGAUUUUUGUUUUUGUUAAACUAUUUUAUUGGGGUGAUAGAAAGAUUAAAUUAACUCUUUUUUUAUUAAAACAUUUUUAUAUGAUUAAUUGAUCCAUUUUUUAUGAUUAUAAGAAUAAAUUACCUUAGGGAUAACAGCGUAAUCUUUUUGGAGAGUUCUUAUCGAAACAAAGGAUUGCGACCUCGAUGUUGGAUUAAAAUUUAUUUUUGGUGUAGAAGCUGAAAUAUUGAGUCUGUUCGACUUUUAAAAUUUUACAUGAUCUGAGUUUAAACCGGUGUGAGCCAGGUUGGUUUCUAUCUUUAUUUAAAUAAAAUAUUUUAGUACGAAAGGACCAA